This 253-nucleotide ribosomal RNA is filed under the name uncultured bacterium. RNAcentral describes it as "partial 16S ribosomal RNA". It matches the Rfam family "Bacterial small subunit ribosomal RNA", at positions 524 to 776 of the family's 1533-position model. The record is from RNAcentral.
UACGUAGGGAGCAAGCGUUGUCCGGAAUCAUUGGGCGUAAAGCGCGCGUAGGCGGCCCCGUAAGUCCGCUGUGAAAGUCAAAGGCUCAACCUUUGAAAGCCGGUGGAUACUGUGGGGCUAGAGUCCGGAAGAGGCGAGUGGAAUUCCUGGUGUAGCGGUGAAAUGCGCAGAUAUCAGGAAGAACACCCGUGGCGAAGGCGGCUCUCUGGGACGGUACUGACGCUGAGACGCGAAAGCGUGGGGAGCGAACAGG